Molecule: small nucleolar RNA, 75 nt
Organism: Bison bison bison
Lineage: Eukaryota; Metazoa; Chordata; Mammalia; Artiodactyla; Bovidae
Source: Ensembl
UGGAUCGAUGACGAUCCAUGCCAGCGUCUGAGUCCUCAAUGACGAGUAAUACGUGUCUGGAACUCUGAGGUCCAA